CGGCGACGGCUUUGGGACGGCUCGCGCGGCGGUAGCCGGCGGACGGGGUCGUGCGGUGGCGGUGCUGGAGGGAGGGAGUCACGCCGCGGCGGAUCGGGGACGGAGGCAAUCUUUGUUUUUUCUACCACUUGACACCCUCAUGAAGGGAACGAGAAAGACGAUGUAGUUCCAGCUUUUUUCGGGAAGUAGACGUAGGUAGACGGCCUCCUUGUGACGAAACUGUAGUCCUUGCGAAAGGAGGUGAUCUCGGUGACGCCGGGGGCCGUCGGGUACCACCUCCUCAAGCAGCGCAGGUAGUCAGGUUGGGGUACCGAAGUCCCGCAGGCUCAAAGCAGCGCCGGUAGUCAAGCCUGUGGACGCAGUGACGCACACAACGUUGGUACCGGUAAACACAGUGACGCACGAGGCAGUGGCCGGAGGACGCGUGGCACUGGGGACGGUGUGAGGAAGGAGAGUGACUUCGGCGAGCACGGGAGGGUCCGAACUAUAGGACGGCGUCGCUACUCGAGGACAUGUAGCGGCUUCAAGGUAUGGACGAGUUGCCGUGGUCGUGCUCCUACGUCGUCGAUCCGACUUGGGGUCAAGCACGGAGUUCCAGUUCAUGCGCCUGCGGACGCUCCUCCAAGAGGCCACGCGGUUCAUAACGGCCGUCGCUACGGACGAAUGCAGAAGGAGCAUACUAAGCGGUUCCGGCGCAGGAGGAGACUCUAUUCUUCUCGCUGUUCCUCCAUUUUCCUUGUGGUCUAAAAAUGUUUAAGACGUCUACAUCAUGCAUAAACGGUAAAACGGUUUCGUCACUCAGAUACACGACUACAAAGAGAACAGAAGAGAACCUACAUAAACAGCUACCUCUCGUGCCAGAAAAAAAGCACCUCGACCGCGACGACGUCAUGCCGGAUCAGGUCAGAUUCCGGAGGUACCAACGACGACGACAAAGGCGUUGGUCCGAUGGGGCUUCUUCUGGGGAUACACUUAACUGUUAGAUUUAAUAUGUGUUCAUCGUUACCCCGACUGACUCUCACUAGGGACUUGGUAAAGUAAUUUCCGGUACCAAAGGUUAUUACGAUUACGAUGAUCUUUCCUUGAUCUCCGGUACUUCGGAGAAUCGAAGAAGUUAAUCGUACAAACCGGUCAGGACUUCGCGGAGGAGUUCGAGAAGCUGCUAUUGGCCCGCGGGUAGUUCCUGUUCUCGAUGUUGUAGGAACAACUGUGGUGACCUACCGUUUUCGUUACUUGGUUAUGGAUGGUGAUGGCCAGUAAUGUUACGGCGGGAACAUGUUCCAAGUUUCUGUAAUAUGACUCUUCCUUUCCUCUACGAUGCCAGUCGUCGAAGGAGCACGGUAGCGCCAUACCAGAGCUAGGUCCUCCACGAUCGAGUACGACCGACCUUGAUCCUACGUUUUCCCAACUGCCUAGGUACGGCGUGUUCGUGACGCGGUACGAGUCAGGUUGGGGCACCGAAGUCCCACCGGCUCAAGCAGCGCUGGUAGUCAAGUCUCUGGACGCAGUGAUGGGCACAGCGAUGGUACCGGUGGACGUAGUGACGCACGAGGCAGUUGUCGGAGGACGUGUCCCUUUUCGUUGUCCUCAUCUCCACAGACUCUACGAGACAAGAUCGCUCCACCGAUUAAUACAAACAAUCAAACAUUAUGAAACCGACGUCACAUGAAUACAUAGAAAAAGACCGGCCUCGUGCUGGUCUCGAAUACAGUCAUGGUCGAAACUAACACUACCAUGAUGUUUGAUAUAUUUUUGUGGUCGUUAGGUAAAAAUGAGCAUGAAUGGAAAAUAUGUUAAGUGUACCUAACACGGGGAUAAUGGUUGACACUAUGUUUUUACGUAACACGAGUGGUAAAAUAAAGCAGUCAAACAUUAUGAAAUUUCUCUCCUC
This 1891-nucleotide ribosomal RNA is filed under the name Triticum aestivum (bread wheat). RNAcentral describes it as "partial small subunit ribosomal RNA". The record is from RNAcentral. Lineage: Eukaryota; Viridiplantae; Streptophyta; Magnoliopsida; Poales; Poaceae.